AUUGAACGCUGGCGGCAGGCUUAACACAUGCAAGUCGAGCGGGGGAAGGUAGCUUGCUACCGGACCUAGCGGCGGACGGGUGAGUAAUGCUUAGGAAUCUGCCUAUUAGUGGGGGACAACAUCUCGAAAGGAAUGCUAAUACCGCAUACGUCCUACGGGAGAAAGCAGGGGAUCUUCGGACCUUGCGCUAAUAGAUGAGCCUAAGUCGGAUUAGCUAGUUGGUGGGGUAAAGGGCUACCAAGGCGACGAUCUGUAGCGGGUCUGAGAGGAUGAUCCGCCACACUGGGACUGAGACACGGCCCAGACUCCUACGGGAGGCAGCAGUGGGGAAUAUUGGACAAUGGGGGGAACCCUGAUCCAGCCAUGCCGCGUGUGUGAAGAAGGCCUUAUGGUUGUAAAGCACUUUAAGCGAGGAGGAGGCUACUCUAGUUAAUACCUAGGGAUAGUGGACGUUACUCGCAGAAUAGCACCGGCUAACUCUGUCCCAGCAGCCGCAGUAA
This 500-nucleotide ribosomal RNA is filed under the name uncultured bacterium. Its description in RNAcentral is "partial 16S ribosomal RNA". It matches the Rfam family "Bacterial small subunit ribosomal RNA", at positions 30 to 523 of the family's 1533-position model. The record is from RNAcentral.